GCGGGGUAGGGAGAGCCGGCUAAAUAAUGGGUUGUGUUUGAUGGUUGGUACGGAAUGAUGUGAUACGAGGGGGCCUAUUGUGAUGGCUUUCUGAGUUCUGGGGAGGAAAGGUCUGGAAUCCCAUGGAGAUGAAUGGGGGAAAGAGAGAGCUCAGCUGUGAGGUUCUCAGCCCUGAUGUUCCCAGGAGGACAGACCUGCGUAGCUCAGGACACAGGUGACGAGAUGUGGAGUCCUAACUUUGAAGAGCAGAGGUGGUGUGGGACAACCCAUAGCGUGGGCAGAAAUAGACUCUUGGAACUGCAUUGAACCUCAGACCUUUGAAAGCAUCCGUAACCAUGGGACCGCAGAGAGAAGGAGAGAAUCCAUUGCUCUUGUGUUUUUCACCAAGCUGUCAUGUUACCUCAAUAAAGUUUCAUCUCAAGGUUUA
This is a long non-coding RNA of Meriones unguiculatus (Mongolian gerbil), 427 nucleotides long. RefSeq lists it as uncharacterized. The record is from RefSeq and is a predicted model, not a curated record. The transcript is spliced from 2 exons. NCBI's taxonomy places the organism in Eukaryota, Metazoa, Chordata, Mammalia, Rodentia, Muridae.